This 492-nucleotide ribosomal RNA is filed under the name uncultured bacterium. RNAcentral's name for it is "partial 16S ribosomal RNA". It matches the Rfam family "Bacterial small subunit ribosomal RNA", at positions 29 to 507 of the family's 1533-position model. The record is from RNAcentral.
AGUGAACGCCGGCGGUAGGCCUAACACAUGCAAGUCGAACGGCAGCACAGUAAGAGCUUGCUCUUACGGGUGGCGAGUGGCGGACGGGUGAGGAUUACAUCGGAAUCUACUUUUUCGUGGGGGAUAACGUAGGGAAACUUACGCUAAUACCGCAUACGACCUACGGGUGAAAGCAGGGGAUCUUCGGACCUUGCGCGAUUGAAUGAGCCGAUGUCGGAUUAGCUAGUUGGCGGGGUAAAGGCCCACCAAGGCGACGAUCCGUAGCUGGUCUGAGAGGAUGAUCAGCCACACUGGAACUGAGACACGGUCCAGACUCCUACGGGAGGCAGCAGUGGGGAAUAUUGGACAAUGGGCGCAAGCCUGAUCCAGCCAUACCGCGUGGGUGAAGAAGGCCUUCGGGUUGUAAAGCCCUUUUGUUGGGAAAGAAAAGCAGCAGGUUAAUACCCCGCUGUUCUGACGGUACCCAAAGAAUAAGCACCGGCUAACUUCGUG